Molecule: ribosomal RNA, 441 nt
Filed under: uncultured bacterium
Lineage: Bacteria
Description: partial 16S ribosomal RNA
Rfam family: Bacterial small subunit ribosomal RNA
Source: RNAcentral
CCUACGGGAGGCAGCAGUCGGGAAUAUUGCGCAAUGGAGGAAACUCUGACGCAGUGACGCCGCGUAUAGGAAGAAGUUUUUCGGAAUGUAAACUAUUGUCGUUAGGGAAGAGGAUGGACAGUAUCCAAGGAGGAAGCUCCGGCUCACGACGUGCCAGCAGCCGCGGUAAUACGUAGGGAGCGAGCGUGGUCCGGAAGUAUUGGGUGUAAAGGGUGCGUAGACGGGAGAACAAGUUAGUUGUGAAAUCCCUCGGCUAAACUAAGGAACUGCAACUAAAACUAUUUGUCUUGAGUGCAGGAGAGGUAAGUGGAAUUCAUAGUGUAGCGGUGGAAUGCGUAGAUAUUAGGAGGAACACCAGUGGCGAAGGCGACUUACUGGACUGUAACUGACGUUGAGGCACGAAAGUGUGGGGAGCAAACAGGAUUAGAUACCCGUGUAGUC